CCUACGGUGUGCUGCAGUGGGGAAUAUUGCACAAUGGUGGAAACCCUGAUGCAGCAACGCCGCGUGAAGGAAGACGGUUUUCGGAUUGUUAACUUCUGUUCUUAGUGAAGAAUAAUGACGGUCGCUAAGGAUCAAGCCACGGCUAACUACGUGCCAGCAGCCGCGGUAAUACGUAGGUGGCAAGCGUUGUCCGGAAUUACUGGGUGUAAAGGGAGCGCAGGCGGGAAGCCAAGUCAGCUGUGAAAAUUACGGGCUUAACUUGUAGACUGCAGUGGAAACUGGUUGUCUUGAGUGAAGUAGAGGUUGGCGGAAUUCGGAGUGUAGCGGUGAAAUGCGUAGAUAUUAGGAGGAACACCGGUGGCGAAGGCGGCCAACUGGGCUUUAACUGACGCUGAGGCUCGAAAGUGUGGGGAGCAAACAGGAUUAGAUACCCUUGUAGUC
RNAcentral lists this ribosomal RNA (441 nucleotides) under uncultured bacterium. Its description in RNAcentral is "partial 16S ribosomal RNA". It matches the Rfam family "Bacterial small subunit ribosomal RNA", at positions 338 to 795 of the family's 1533-position model. The record is from RNAcentral.